This 86-nucleotide signal recognition particle RNA is filed under the name Saprospiraceae bacterium. RNAcentral's name for it is "signal recognition particle sRNA small type". It matches the Rfam family "Bacterial small signal recognition particle RNA". Rfam says of the family: The signal recognition particle (SRP) is a universally conserved ribonucleoprotein involved in the co-translational targeting of proteins to membranes. Archaeal SRP consists of a 7S RNA and homologues of the eukaryotic SRP19 and SRP54 proteins. In most bacteria, the SRP consists of a 4.5S RNA and the Ffh protein (a homologue of the eukaryotic SRP54 protein). Lineage: Bacteria; Pseudomonadati; Bacteroidota; Saprospiria; Saprospirales; Saprospiraceae. The record is from RNAcentral.
UUCGUCAUGCGACCAGCUCCUUGCGAACCCCCCCAGGGCAGAAAUGCAGCAAGGGCAGUAGGUUGAGCGGUGUGCAUGACGUUUUU